AACGCACCUUGCGCUCCUUGGUAUUCCGAGGAGCACGCCUGUUCGAGUGUCGUGAAACUCUCAAGCUAGAUGCUUUAGUGUCAUCUGCUUGGUUAUUGGACUCUGCUGUCUCCUUGUCUGGAACGGCUGGUCUCAAAUGUAUUAGCUGGCUCUUGUUGUGGGAAUUGGUUCUACUCAGCGUGAUAAUCUAUGACCGCUGAGGACAUCUCUCGGGAUGGCCAAGCCUGCCUUGAACUGCUUCUAACUCAUCAUUUCAUGAUAUUUUUCAACUCUUGACCUCGAAUCAGGUAGGGACUACCCGCUGAACUUAA
RNAcentral lists this unclassified non-coding RNA (311 nucleotides) under uncultured Sistotrema. Its description in RNAcentral is "partial contains 5.8S ribosomal RNA, internal transcribed spacer 2, and large subunit ribosomal RNA". Lineage: Eukaryota; Fungi; Basidiomycota; Agaricomycetes; Corticiales; Corticiaceae. The record is from RNAcentral.